This 189-nucleotide ribosomal RNA is filed under the name uncultured bacterium. Its description in RNAcentral is "partial 16S ribosomal RNA". It matches the Rfam family "Bacterial small subunit ribosomal RNA", at positions 338 to 524 of the family's 1533-position model. The record is from RNAcentral.
CCUACGGGAGGCAGCAGUGAGGAAUAUUGGUCAAUGGGCGGAAGCCUGAACCAGCCAAGUAGCGUGAGGGAAGACUGCCCUAUGGGUUGUAAACCUCUUUUGUGCGGGGAUAAAGUGUGGGACGUGUCCCAUAUUGCAGGUACCGCACGAAUAAGGACCGGCUAAUUCCGUGCCAGCAGCCGCGGUAAU